Molecule: ribosomal RNA, 468 nt
Filed under: uncultured bacterium
Lineage: Bacteria
Description: partial 16S ribosomal RNA
Rfam family: Bacterial small subunit ribosomal RNA
Source: RNAcentral
GACGAACGCUGGCGGCGUGCUUAACACAUGCAAGUCGAACGGAAGGGCCCUGCUUUUGUGGGGUGCUCGAGUGGCGAACGGGUGAGUAACACGUGAGUAACCUGCCCUUGACUUUGGGAUAACUUCAGGAAACUGGGGCUAAUACCGGAUAGGAGCUCCUGCUGCAUGGUGGGGGUUGGAAAGUUUCGGCGGUUGGGGAUGGACUCGCGGCUUAUCAGCUUGUUGGUGGGGUAGUGGCUUACCAAGGCUUUGAUGGGUAGCCGGCCUGAGAGGGUGACCGGCCACAUUGGGACUGAGAUACGGCCCAGACUCCUACGGGAGGCAGCAGUGGGGAAUAUUGCACAAUGGGCGGAAGCCUGAUGCAGCAACGCCGCGUGCGGGAUGACGGCCUUCGGGUUGUAAACCGCUUUCGCCUGUGACGAAGCGUGAGUGACGGUAAUGGGUAAAGAAGCACCGGCUAACUACGUG